This 1454-nucleotide ribosomal RNA is filed under the name uncultured bacterium. RNAcentral's name for it is "bacterial SSU rRNA". It matches the Rfam family "Bacterial small subunit ribosomal RNA". The record is from RNAcentral.
AUUAGAGUUUGAUCCUGGCUCAGGAUGAACGCUGGCGGUAUGCUUAACACAUGCAAGUCGAACGGUCACUUCGGUGAUAGUGGCGGACGGGUGAGUAACGCGUGAGAAUCUGUCUUCAGGUCGGGGACAACAGUUAGAAAUGACUGCUAAUACCGGAUGUGCCUAAGGGUGAAAGAUUUAUUGCCUGAAGAAGAGCUCGCGUCAGAUUAGCUAGUAGGUGGUGUAAAGGACUACCUAGGCGACGAUCUGUAGCUGGUCUGAGAGGACGAUCAGCCACACUGGAACUGAGACACGGUCCAGACUCCUACGGGAGGCAGCAGUGGGGAAUUUUCCGCAAUGGGCGAAAGCCUGACGGAGCAAUACCGCGUGAGGGACGAAGGCUCUUGGGUCGUAAACCUCUUUUCUCAAGGAAGAUAGUGACGGUACUUGAGGAAUAAGCAUCGGCUAACUCUGUGCCAGCAGCCGCGGUAAUACAGAGGAUGCAAGCGUUAUCCGGAAUGAUUGGGCGUAAAGCGUCCGCAGGUGGUUUUUCAAGUCUGCUGUCAAAGAAUCUGGCUCAACCAGAUAAAGGCAGUGGAAACUGAGCGACUAGAGUAUGGUAGGGGUAGAGGGAAUUCCUGGUGUAGCGGUGAAAUGCGUAGAGAUCAGGAAGAACACCGGUGGCGAAAGCGCUCUGCUGGACCAUAACUGACACUGAGGGACGAAAGCUAGGGGAGCGAAUGGGAUUAGAUACCCCAGUAGUCCUAGCCGUAAACGAUGGAUACUAGGCGUUGCCCGUAUCGACCCGGGCAGUGUCGUAGCCAACGCGUUAAGUAUCCCGCCUGGGGAGUACGCACGCAAGUGUGAAACUCAAAGGAAUUGACGGGGGCCCGCACAAGCGGUGGAGUAUGUGGUUUAAUUCGAUGCAACGCGAAGAACCUUACCAGGGCUUGACAUGUCCGGAAUCUUCUGGAAACGGAAGAGUGCCUACGGGAGCCGGAACACAGGUGGUGCAUGGCUGUCGUCAGCUCGUGUCGUGAGAUGUUGGGUUAAGUCCCGCAACGAGCGCAACCCUCGUUCUUAGUUGCCAGCAAUUCGGUUGGGCACUCUAGGGAGACUGCCGGUGACAAACCGGAGGAAGGUGGGGAUGACGUCAAGUCAGCAUGCCCCUUACGUCCUGGGCGACACACGUACUACAAUGCUGUGGACAAAGGGCAGCAAGCUAGCAAUAGCAAGCAAAUCCCAUAAACCACGGCUCAGUUCAGAUCGCAGGCUGCAACUCGCCUGCGUGAAGGAGGAAUCGCUAGUAAUUGCAGGUCAGCAUACUGCAGUGAAUUCGUUCCCGGGCCUUGUACACACCGCCCGUCACACCAUGGAAGCUGGUCACGCCCGAAGUCGUUACCCUAACCCCUCGGGGAGGGGGACGCCGAAGGUAGGACUGGUGACUGGGGUGAAGUCGUAACAAGGUAACCAAU